RNAcentral lists this ribosomal RNA (2548 nucleotides) under Escherichia coli. RNAcentral's name for it is "bacterial LSU rRNA". It matches the Rfam family "Bacterial large subunit ribosomal RNA", at positions 397 to 2925 of the family's 2925-position model. Lineage: Bacteria; Pseudomonadati; Pseudomonadota; Gammaproteobacteria; Enterobacterales; Enterobacteriaceae. The record is from RNAcentral.
CUGUGAGCUCGAUGAGUAGGGCGGGACACGUGGUAUCCUGUCUGAAUAUGGGGGGACCAUCCUCCAAGGCUAAAUACUCCUGACUGACCGAUAGUGAACCAGUACCGUGAGGGAAAGGCGAAAAGAACCCCGGCGAGGGGAGUGAAAAAGAACCUGAAACCGUGUACGUACAAGCAGUGGGAGCCUCUUUUAUGGGGUGACUGCGUACCUUUUGUAUAAUGGGUCAGCGACUUAUAUUCUGUAGCAAGGUUAACCGAAUAGGGGAGCCGAAGGGAAACCGAGUCUUAACUGGGCGUUAAGUUGCAGGGUAUAGACCCGAAACCCGGUGAUCUAGCCAUGGGCAGGUUGAAGGUUGGGUAACACUAACUGGAGGACCGAACCGACUAAUGUUGAAAAAUUAGCGGAUGACUUGUGGCUGGGGGUGAAAGGCCAAUCAAACCGGGAGAUAGCUGGUUCUCCCCGAAAGCUAUUUAGGUAGCGCCUCGUGAAUUCAUCUCCGGGGGUAGAGCACUGUUUCGGCAAGGGGGUCAUCCCGACUUACCAACCCGAUGCAAACUGCGAAUACCGGAGAAUGUUAUCACGGGAGACACACGGCGGGUGCUAACGUCCGUCGUGAAGAGGGAAACAACCCAGACCGCCAGCUAAGGUCCCAAAGUCAUGGUUAAGUGGGAAACGAUGUGGGAAGGCCCAGACAGCCAGGAUGUUGGCUUAGAAGCAGCCAUCAUUUAAAGAAAGCGUAAUAGCUCACUGGUCGAGUCGGCCUGCGCGGAAGAUGUAACGGGGCUAAACCAUGCACCGAAGCUGCGGCAGCGACGCUUAUGCGUUGUUGGGUAGGGGAGCGUUCUGUAAGCCUGUGAAGGUGUGCUGUGAGGCAUGCUGGAGGUAUCAGAAGUGCGAAUGCUGACAUAAGUAACGAUAAAGCGGGUGAAAAGCCCGCUCGCCGGAAGACCAAGGGUUCCUGUCCAACGUUAAUCGGGGCAGGGUGAGUCGACCCCUAAGGCGAGGCCGAAAGGCGUAGUCGAUGGGAAACAGGUUAAUAUUCCUGUACUUGGUGUUACUGCGAAGGGGGGACGGAGAAGGCUAUGUUGGCCGGGCGACGGUUGUCCCGGUUUAAGCGUGUAGGCUGGUUUUCCAGGCAAAUCCGGAAAAUCAAGGCUGAGGCGUGAUGACGAGGCACUACGGUGCUGAAGCAACAAAUGCCCUGCUUCCAGGAAAAGCCUCUAAGCAUCAGGUAACAUCAAAUCGUACCCCAAACCGACACAGGUGGUCAGGUAGAGAAUACCAAGGCGCUUGAGAGAACUCGGGUGAAGGAACUAGGCAAAAUGGUGCCGUAACUUCGGGAGAAGGCACGCUGAUAUGUAGGUGAAGCGACUUGCUCGUGGAGCUGAAAUCAGUCGAAGAUACCAGCUGGCUGCAACUGUUUAUUAAAAACACAGCACUGUGCAAACACGAAAGUGGACGUAUACGGUGUGACGCCUGCCCGGUGCCGGAAGGUUAAUUGAUGGGGUCAGCGCAAGCGAAGCUCUUGAUCGAAGCCCCGGUAAACGGCGGCCGUAACUAUAACGGUCCUAAGGUAGCGAAAUUCCUUGUCGGGUAAGUUCCGACCUGCACGAAUGGCGUAAUGAUGGCCAGGCUGUCUCCACCCGAGACUCAGUGAAAUUGAACUCGCUGUGAAGAUGCAGUGUACCCGCGGCAAGACGGAAAGACCCCGUGAACCUUUACUAUAGCUUGACACUGAACAUUGAGCCUUGAUGUGUAGGAUAGGUGGGAGGCUUAGAAGUGUGGACGCCAGUCUGCAUGGAGCCGACCUUGAAAUACCACCCUUUAAUGUUUGAUGUUCUAACGUUGACCCGUAAUCCGGGUUGCGGACAGUGUCUGGUGGGUAGUUUGACUGGGGCGGUCUCCUCCUAAAGAGUAACGGAGGAGCACGAAGGUUGGCUAAUCCUGGUCGGACAUCAGGAGGUUAGUGCAAUGGCAUAAGCCAGCUUGACUGCGAGCGUGACGGCGCGAGCAGGUGCGAAAGCAGGUCAUAGUGAUCCGGUGGUUCUGAAUGGAAGGGCCAUCGCUCAACGGAUAAAAGGUACUCCGGGGAUAACAGGCUGAUACCGCCCAAGAGUUCAUAUCGACGGCGGUGUUUGGCACCUCGAUGUCGGCUCAUCACAUCCUGGGGCUGAAGUAGGUCCCAAGGGUAUGGCUGUUCGCCAUUUAAAGUGGUACGCGAGCUGGGUUUAGAACGUCGUGAGACAGUUCGGUCCCUAUCUGCCGUGGGCGCUGGAGAACUGAGGGGGGCUGCUCCUAGUACGAGAGGACCGGAGUGGACGCAUCACUGGUGUUCGGGUUGUCAUGCCAAUGGCACUGCCCGGUAGCUAAAUGCGGAAGAGAUAAGUGCUGAAAGCAUCUAAGCACGAAACUUGCCCCGAGAUGAGUUCUCCCUGACCCUUUAAGGGUCCUGAAGGAACGUUGAAGACGACGACGUUGAUAGGCCGGGUGUGUAAGCGCAGCGAUGCGUUGAGCUAACCGGUACUAAUGAACCGUGAGGCUUAACCUU